This is a non-coding RNA of Cricetulus griseus (Chinese hamster), 3191 nucleotides long. NCBI's taxonomy places the organism in Eukaryota, Metazoa, Chordata, Mammalia, Rodentia, Cricetidae. The record is from RefSeq and is a predicted model, not a curated record.
AUCAGGUAAGAGUGCUUGGUAGGACCUCUGACUCACACAGGCAUGCCCCACCUUCUCCUAAAUAAAUAAAUGCAAAACAAAACAAAAAUUAGGACUACCGGCCACACUUGCAUACUACAGAAAUAUGUAGAGAGUGCUCUUUGCCCAGUGCACUGAAUCAUUCCUGAGGUUUGUGUCUUAGGGACACUCACCAAUUGAUGUGAAGGAGCCAAAAUAAACUAUUGGGGGCCUAUUUCAUCUAUAGCACCUGUUCUGCUCCCUGUGAGCUCUGAGUGCUCCCUCUCCCUCCUUCCUCCCUCCUCCCUUUCCUUCUCUCCCUCUCCGCCUCCCCUCCCCCUUCUCUCUCUCUCCCUCCCUCCCUCUCUCCCUCCUGCCUCUCUCUCCUUCCUCUCUGUCUGUCCCCCCACCCCUUUCUGGCAUAAAUCCACUUUGAGAAAUGGCUUCCCUGUGGACCUCCACCCCUUUCGUUUCUGCCCUGUGGCUCACAGCCUCCCUUCAGAGCUAAGCUCCUUGAAGGAGUUCUGGGCACUCCCUAUGUACACUUCCUGAUGGUGGCUGUCCAAUCCAACCCACAAGAAUCUGACUCACUUGAAGCUUCUUCAAACAGCCCCAGCCCACCACUCCACUGAAACUGUUCUCCUAAGCCUUAAUCCAGGCUUUCACGGUGAUUGCAUGGAUUGCUGACAUCACCCCUUGCCUGCCUCCACCUCAUCAUUCAUGAUAAAAGAGGGAUGCUCUUCAUAAAAUGCAGAUUAGACAAGGUUACGUCCUUGUCCAAUGUCUCGGUGGCUUGCUGUGGAUGGCAGAAGCUUGGCAUUCUUUGCAUUUCAUGCCAGUCUCUCCCAGCCUGGCUAUGAUGUCCCUCUCUAGACACAUCUCCACGGAGCCCCAUGGUUAUGCCACACUGCAGCUAGUGUCUCCAAGUGCUGGUCUGAGGAGAUUUUUCUCAAGAUAUUGGAAAGUCUGGCUAAAUGAAUGUGGAUUUAAAUCAAACUCCACACACACUGAGAACGUCUGAGAAGGAGCCAAGUGGGUAAAGUUUGAGGACCAAGCUAACACUUCAGUGAAUUCAACUGGGAAAACACACGGAAGGCAUUUGGAACACAACUUCUAGAAUAUAUCCAGCUGUCUUUUGCCCCUUCCCUUCUGCCUGAGAUGCCAAUCGCUUGUGAGUUACAAAAAUAACUGUUCUACAUGUACAGGGGAUACAGAAAAAAAACCUGUUAUAUGCUUGGCAUAUAGUAGGAAUAGAGGCUCUGGUGAGCCAAACAUAUAAACACAUGAUCACAGUGUGUCAAAAUGAAGGGUGUCUUGGCAGCAUAGGGCGGAGGGCUGAGUUAUGUGGCCAGGGGACAGUAACUCUGCCUUCUUCACUUGACCUACCACUAAAGUGUGCCCCAGUUUAACCUCCUGUAUUUUGAGCUUAUUUCUUCUGUGCAAAUACACAUGUCGUAUCUUCUUGAUAUAUUAGCGCCUAGCAAAUGCUCUCCAAUUUGUUUCUAAUGAGAUGUCUCAAAGUCCACCUUGGGGGAUAGAGAGAUGUUUUAGUGGGUAAGACUGCUAGAUGCACAAACGUAAGGACCGGAGUUGAAUCCCUGGCUCCCGUAUAAAAGCUGAACAUGGCUGCAUGUGCCUGUAACAUUUUAUGUUAUAUAUGGUUUGCUAUAGUUUUAAACGUUGAAAAGAACAUCGAGGAUGAAGAAAAUAGAGGAUGUUUUUUCUUCUUUGACUGUUUAAGGAUUCACCUUUAUCAUGAAUGUUUCAGUAAUUAUCUAGACCAGAGACUUGAUGAUGACUUCGGAGGAAACAAGUAGUUUGACCUGGCCCACCACAGUCCAUAGGCCAGUACUCUGGAAAAAACUAACCAAAAUGCCACAUGUCAUCUCUGUAUUUGGAUUCAGAACCCACGUUGAUGGUGGCAAGAUGAUCGGCUUUGGCAUGGUUUAGGGUUCCUUGAAUUAUGCCAAGAAAAAUAAGCCCAAACACAGACUUGCAAGACACAGCUCUAUAAAAAGAAAAAAGAGUUUAGAAAACAGUGUUAAAGAGGCAAGAACAGGAUAAAGAAAAGCGGGGUCGGUAGUUGGUAGGAGAGCAGGGUGUCUGCAAAGACGGAGGGUGGUGCUGGCAGAAGCGACCCGAGACUGGUCUUGGCAGAAGGAGUGAAGAGUCUGCAGUGACUUGAUCUGUGGUGACAUGCACAUUUCUAAGCAGAGGACUAAUAACCUGCACAAUUUUAACAAAAAAGUGAUUUUUAAACAGCACAUCCCAGGGCAAUGCUGAACAUGGCUUGGUGUUGUGGUGGUUUGAAAGAAAAUGUCCCCCAAAGGGCGUGGCACUAUUAGGAGGUGUGGCCUUCGUGGAGGAAGUGUGUCACCGUGAGGGUGGGCUUUGAGGUCUUUUCUCAACCUUCCCUCGGUGUGACAGAGUUGACUUCCUAUUGCCUGCAAGAUGUGUAGGACUCUCCACACUCUCUCAGCGCUAGCACCACAGCGCCAUGGUCCCCAUCAUGAUGAUAACGGACUGAACCUCCGAAACUGAGUCUCCCCAAAUAAAUGUUUCCGUUUAUAAGAGUUGCCGUGUUCACGGUGUUUCUUCACCAUGUGUUCUGUGUUGUGUCUAAUUACAUAAGCCACAGGCUCACACUGCUUCUUGUCCAGGGUGGAAGUUCCCACUGCCAAUGGCAGUUUAUGAGGUGGGUUCCAUGAACACCCACUUUCCUGGGAAAGUCAAAGAGGACUUCUGUGGCAGCUGGAUGCCCACUCUAGGCCAGAGCUGGCAGCACCACCACUUCCCUAAAGGUUACCAGCUACAGCGGAUUCACCAGCCAGGAACUACCCCGAUUCUCCUUAUAUUUAUCUUACGACAAUGUUGCCGCACAUUUUAGAAAUAUUUGGAGCUGGAUAAACACUAAGCAUUGAAGAAAUUGAAUGGAUAAUCACAAUGACAGGGCAGAAUAAAGAGAUUAAGAAAAACCGCCAAAAGAAAAUCAGAAUUUUUCUUUUCAGGCAAGGCAUUGACAAAAGGCUUAUAAUCUUGGCCAAAUGAGUUAUACGUGGAUACAACUUGCAGGGGUCGGUUGUUUCCUUUUACCAUGUGAAUCUAGAGACUUAGCCUAAGUGGUCAGCAAGAGCCUUUCCCUGCUAAGCCUAGCAAUAUUGUAUUUCAAUAAAAUGUUCCAACUUAUAUCCUUA